AGCUUUAUUCAAGGCGUAAAAGAAGAAAUAAGCAACUAUAUUAGAGAUGCAAACUCGUAUAAAAGCGUA
This 69-nucleotide non-coding RNA is filed under the name Clostridium perfringens E str. JGS1987. RNAcentral describes it as "GP20-b RNA". It matches the Rfam family "GP20-b RNA". Lineage: Bacteria; Bacillati; Bacillota; Clostridia; Eubacteriales; Clostridiaceae. The record is from RNAcentral.